UACGUAGGGACCAAGCGUUGUUCGGAUUUACUGGGCGUAAAGGGCGCGUAGGCGGCAUGACAAGUCACUUGUGAAAUCUCCGGGCUUAACUCGGAACGGCCAAGUGAUACUGUCAAGCUAGAGUGCAGAAAGGGCAGUCGGAAUUCUUGGUGUAGCGGUGAAAUGCGUAGAUAUCAAGAGGAACACCUGAGGCGAAGGCGGGUUGCUAGGCUGACACUGACGCUGACAGCGCGAAAGCCAGGGGAGCAAACGGG
RNAcentral lists this ribosomal RNA (254 nucleotides) under uncultured bacterium. Its description in RNAcentral is "partial 16S ribosomal RNA". It matches the Rfam family "Bacterial small subunit ribosomal RNA", at positions 524 to 776 of the family's 1533-position model. The record is from RNAcentral.